Molecule: ribosomal RNA, 451 nt
Filed under: uncultured soil bacterium
Lineage: Bacteria
Description: bacterial SSU rRNA
Rfam family: Bacterial small subunit ribosomal RNA
Source: RNAcentral
AGAACGAACGCUGGCGGCAUGCCUAACACAUGCAAGUCGAACGAACCCUUCGGGGUUAGUGGCGCACGGGUGCGUAACGCGUGGGAACCUACCAUCAGGUUCGGAAUAACAGUUAGAAAUGACUGCUAAUACCGGAUAAUGUCUUCGGACCAAAGAUUUAUCGCCUUUUGAUGGGCCCGCGUUGGAUUAGCUAGUUGGUAAGGUAAAAGCUUACCAAGGCGACGAUCCAUAGCUGGUCUGAGAGGAUGAUCAGCCACACUGGGACUGAGACACGGCCCAGACUCCUACGGGAGGCAGCAGUGGGGAAUAUUGGACAAUGGGCGAAAGCCUGAUCCAGCAAUGCCGCGUGAGUGAUGAAGGCCUUAGGGUUGUAAAGCUCUUUUACCCGAGAUGAUAAUGACAGUAUCGGGAAGAAGUAACGCCCCGACUAACCUCCGUGCCAGCAGCCGAC